This 29-nucleotide non-coding RNA is filed under the name Homo sapiens (human). The record is from RNAcentral. Lineage: Eukaryota; Metazoa; Chordata; Mammalia; Primates; Hominidae.
UCCNCUAAUGGGGUAUUGUUCUUGCAUGC